RNAcentral lists this ribosomal RNA (800 nucleotides) under Virgibacillus sp. JSM 073059. RNAcentral describes it as "bacterial SSU rRNA". It matches the Rfam family "Bacterial small subunit ribosomal RNA", at positions 49 to 814 of the family's 1533-position model. The record is from RNAcentral. Lineage: Bacteria; Bacillati; Bacillota; Bacilli; Caryophanales; Bacillaceae.
UAAUACAUGCAAGUCGAGCGCGGGAAGCAAGCUGAUCCUCUUCGGAGGUGACGCUUGUGGAACGAGCGGCGGACGGGUGAGUAACACGUGGGCAACCUGCCUGUAAGACUGGGAUAACCCCGGGAAACCGGGGCUAAUACCGGAUAAUACUUUUCAUCACCUGAUGGAAAGUUGAAAGGUGGCUUCUUGCUACCACUUACAGAUGGGCCCGCGGCGCAUUAGCUAGUUGGUGAGGUAACGGCUCACCAAGGCAACGAUGCGUAGCCGACCUGAGAGGGUGAUCGGCCACACUGGGACUGAGACACGGCCCAGACUCCUACGGGAGGCAGCAGUAGGGAAUCUUCCGCAAUGGACGAAAGUCUGACGGAGCAACGCCGCGUGAGUGAUGAAGGUUUUCGGAUCGUAAAGCUCUGUUGUUAGGGAAGAACAAGUGCCGUUCGAAUAGGGCGGCACCUUGACGGUACCUAACCAGAAAGCCCCGGCUAACUACGUGCCAGCAGCCGCGGUAAUACGUAGGGGGCAAGCGUUGUCCGGAAUUAUUGGGCGUAAAGCGCGCGCAGGCGGUCCUUUAAGUCUGAUGUGAAAGCCCACGGCUUAACCGUGGAGGGUCAUUGGAAACUGGAGGACUUGAGUACAGAAGAGGAGAGUGGAAUUCCACGUGUAGCGGUGAAAUGCGUAGAGAUGUGGAGGAACACCAGUGGCGAAGGCGACUCUCUGGUCUGUAACUGACGCUGAGGCGCGAAAGCGUGGGGAGCGAACAGGAUUAGAUACCCUGGUAGUCCACGCCGUAAACGAUGAGU